CCUAAGAGACCUGCCAUUUUGUGCUCUAAUCGACCUCUUAUGAAUAGGAGCCGUGCAUAAUGCUGCGAGGAGCGUUGUGACAUUCAAUUGCGACCUUCAGUACCUAUCCUGUGUCUUUUAAGGACUUCCUCAGCCAGGGAACACAUUCGUUGGUUUAAGAGUAACUGUAAAGAGUCUGCAAGAGCUUCCAUCAUCCAUCGAUAGAAGAAUUAAACUUUGCUGCACUCCAGCUAGCUAGAUGGGGAAACUGAGGCAAAGAGGUUAAAGGGCCUCUUUCAGCCACGGAGUGUGUUGAUGUCUGUUCCUGCUCCCUAGACAUGUGCACAGACUACUAGACUUCACUGCUCUGGCAGCAGCAGGGAAGUGGGACGCCCCUUUGGCAAUCUGUCAGUGCCAACCUGAGCUGCAUCCAUUUGCUGGGUAUUUUCUAAGCUGACUGACAGUCCUUAAAACAAGUAUGCAGUUAAGCUGCUAAGGUAAGAUUUGCUAUAUUAGCAUACUUUACACCAUAUAUUAAGCCAUAAAUGGAUCAUCCUGUUAUGCUUUAGGGUCCCCGUCCUGAAAUUUCUCAGUCAAGUGAAUAUCUCCUCAAGAAACAGUUCCUGUUACACUCUCACUUCCCCCACCCCCAUCUCUUUCAUUUAAGAAUUGCAUUUGGGAGGUGCGGGUGCUCUGUGUGCAUGAGAACUGCAGACAUAGGCUUAUGUCAAGUCAUUGGAGUCCCUUCAAACUUCUGAAUUAAUAUAUGGAUGAUUAAACAAAAUGUUUGCCUCUCUGUCUUGUAUUCAUGGAUUUUUUUUCAGGGUUUUGGGGGAAAGAAACCGAAGCCCCCUGUGUCACGUAGUAGCAGGUCAAGCCUUUUUGGUAUAUCAGGGUCAGGGAGCUGUGCAAAGUUUCCUAGCAAAUAAGUCUAACCCAUUAGUUCAAAAAUAUUGAGGAGCAGUUAACGUAUUCUAGUUCCAAGAAACCACUGCUGUUAUUUUGAGUAGUUUUGAUACAACCAAAUCAAAGUGAAGAUUUGAAAUAGCUUUUCUGAAAGCCCAAGCCGAAGUCAUAAAUUAUUCUACACCAUGAUUCGUUCAGAUAGUAAAACCAUACCUCUUUGCCUGACAUUACUGAAAUGUAGAAAAGGGAAAGUUAAAAAUAAAAUGAAACAUUUAAAUCUUUGCUGUUGAGAACCUCAGAUAGAUGGCAAUAUAGCAAAGUUGAUAAAAGCGAUUCUCAAUUAGACUUUAUUAUUAUUUUAUUAAGGUAUUAUUAAUAAACAUCAGGGUGCAGCAGGCGUUAACACUAUCCUGGUAUUAGACAAGUGGACACUGAAGAAAAAUAAAGGCAAGUUGCCUGUAAUGAGAAAAAGUAGAAGGACGUGUCUAAACUGCAAAUGACAUGAAAAGCAGAAAUAUCAUAUAUUUGUCCUUCAGGCCUGAUCCUGUGGCCUUUUGUUGUGUAGUGAGUUCUGUUAAGUUGCGCAUAACCAGUCAUGAAUAAGCUCUAGUUCUCUGAGUCAAGGCUACUUGACUAUUUCCCAAGAGAACAGGUAGAACAUUUUGUUGUGUAUGUACAUAUACAUAUAUAUAUAUAUAUUGUUUCUUUCAUUAAGCCCAGUAAAUGCGCAUUGCUGUCUCUUUUCAGUGAGCUUUUACAGACGUAUCUCUUUCUCUUUAAAAAUAAAU
This 1673-nucleotide long non-coding RNA is filed under the name Gallus gallus (chicken). The record is from RNAcentral. Lineage: Eukaryota; Metazoa; Chordata; Aves; Galliformes; Phasianidae.